UUUCAACGGAGAGUUUGAUCCUGGCUCAGGACGAACGCUGGCGGCGUGCUUAACACAUGCAAGUCGAGCGGUAAGGCCACUUCGGUGGUACACGAGCGGCGAAC
Molecule: ribosomal RNA, 104 nt
Filed under: Aeromicrobium sp. Leaf291
Lineage: Bacteria; Bacillati; Actinomycetota; Actinomycetes; Propionibacteriales; Nocardioidaceae
Description: partial 16S ribosomal RNA
Rfam family: Bacterial small subunit ribosomal RNA
Source: RNAcentral